CGAGAAGAUCCCGCAUCGCUCUAUCCUCUGCCGCCUCCGCAUUAAAAAAAAAAACCCGCACAUCCUACCUCUGGUCUCUUCUCCUCCCCUGAAUCCCUCAUCGGCUCAUCCUCCCGCAUCCGCCUCCCUAGCCGCCGCCGCCUGGCCUCCUCCCCCACGUCCAUCUCCUCACGGGCCACCUCGCCGCCACCCCCGCUUCGCCUCCUCACCAUUUUUCUCCCCGUCCCGGCCUGCACCUUCAUCAUCCGCGCCAGGAGGGGACUGUUGCCUCUGCACGCCAUCGCUUCGGUCCUUGGGAGGCCGCCGGAGAGCGGGAUCUGGCCGCUGCAGGGGGAGUCCGCAGACGCCUGGUGCGGUUCGCCGAGACCACCACCCCCUCAGCCGCCAUUGAGUGCAUCAUCGGAGGUCACGGGGACGAGGGGCCCUUCGACGGCCACUCGGCGUCCUCGCCCACGCAUUCCCCGCUCCCAGCAGACUGCUCCUCCUCCACAUAUGAUUUUGUAGUCUGAUUGCUGGAAAUUUUGUUGACAAAGUUGGAAAUCUAACACAUCAGAAGCACUCGAGCACGCACGAAACACUUUCCCUUUGUGUCGAAGGAUUGUUUGUUCAUCACGUGACUCAUCUGUUUCAGGGAGAUGGAAAGGUUCACCAUUACGGGUUCAGCAAACAGAACUGGAGAAAACAAACCUUUGCUUUUUGCCGUAAGAUCCUUCCUCUCUUCCUGCCACCGCAGGCAGUAUAACUGUAUAAUCAUGUCUCUGUCCGUCCAUGCUAACUAGCUACUCCCUCUGUUCCUAAAUGCUUGUCAUGGUUUUAGUGCAAAGUUGCAGACAUGACUACAUUUUGAGAUUGCAUACUCUCCACAUGAUCAAGUGAUUAAAGUGCCCUUAUUGUUUGUUUCAGGGGUUUUUUUCUUACCGUGGGAUUGCAAGAAAAACACUUAAGAAUGAUUCCAACUGCUAGAUACCUGCAGAUUUUAGAUGUUGUUGUUAAUUGACAUUCCACUUGUUGUUUUGCUAGGAGACCUUAUGUUAUGUCUAUACCACAACAAUGGCAACUUCAGAACUGUAGGUGAUGUUUAUCUCGGUUGUCAUAUCUAAAUUAAUCUUACUUACCCUACAUGUCUUCCCUGCUGCAGUAACGGGUUUAUCCAUUGAGAUCUUAAGACUUCUAAAUAUACUGGUUAUGAGAGAAGGAGAAGGAGAAGAACAUGGGAUUACGAAGAUUGUUGACUUUGUGCUUGCUGGGAUAUCAAGCCCCUCUAAAACCAUUAAGAUGGAAGAAAGCAACUGUAACAACAGCGGUCCAUGUACAUGUGUUAAGUAACUGAAAUAAUAUUGACAAAAAAUUGUUUAUGAAGACAGUUACUAAUAUUUAGGCAUCUUUGAAAUGAUGAAGAAAGAUGCCAAGAAUGACAAAUUUAGACUUUGAGUCACACGUGGCAUGCCAGUUGUGAGUUGCAUGCAGUCAAGGAUCGCAAGUGAAAAUCCAUUUGAUUGGACUUGGAACAAUUUGGUUUUCUUUUAUUUUUUAAGUUGGAAUUGUAACACCCAGUAAAUUGUCCGUAGGAACGCUAUCUCUUCAAACAUGUGAAACGGAAAGCUCCAGCCGUGGCAACGCAGGAACAUUUCGGUUAGUCAUAAAUACAGAGUAUAAAAUAAAAUAUUUCAUGGCACAGAGUACACGCUACGGUUCGAUUUCCCCCGAUUGGGAGCAGCGCCGCCGUUCAACGCGACCACCGCCGACUCGACGUGAUCCAGCAGGUACCCGAAGAUCUUCUUCCUCAGCCGCUCGGCGGCCUCGGACCGCCGCGGGCCCGCGCCAUCCGUAUCCAGCCAGUCGUUGACCCUCUUGAGCUGCCCCAGCGUCCCGGCCACGUCGCCGUCGACCAGCCCCUCCACGUGCCCCGCGAACCACGCGCUCAUCUCCUCCCCUAGCCGCCUCGCCGCUGCCUCCAGCCAGGUGAUCUCCAUCUCCUCCUCCUCCGCCUCCCCGGCGACGGCGGCUUCUUCUCCCGCCGCCAGCGGAUUUGCCGAGGGGAAGCAGGCAGCAGGUGGUUCUUCUUCGGCGCUCUGUUGAUUUUUCUUCCUGUAGAGGGAAAAGGGGGCCAGGUCGGCGCUGACUGCCGCGCGCAGCCAGUCGCCGGCGUGGCCGCCAGAUCGGCGCUGCUGGUGGUUGCCGAGGACGGCGGCGGAGCGGGUGAUGGCGGCUUGGAGCGCGAGGAACUCGUCCACGGUAUGCUGCGGCGGAUGCUGGGCGGCGGAGGCGGUUAGAUCUGCGAAGGCACUGAACGUGCAUAGCAAAUUCAUCAGGACAGUAGUGAAAUUUUCAGUCCUCUCUGUUCUGGGCAUUGUUUUCUGAUGAGCAAAUUGUUGUUUAAUUUUAUUUUGAUUUUUGAUGAACACAGGUUUUAUUUUAUGGAUGAGUGAAGACUGAAGAGCACUUCACCUGAGACACCUGAGCACAAUCUCCGCAGCAGAAGCUUCCUGCAUGGCCUCAACAGCAGCCAUCUCUGCAGCAUCCUUAUAAUUCAUCACUUCCUACGGUGCAUCAAAACUUGCCAACUUAACAAGCCAUAAUUCCGAGGCUGCAUAACCCCAUCGCAAUGUGCAGAAUUACAUACGGAGUAUAAAUUAAAGUUUAUAAACAAAUUGUACCGAUCCGAGAGUCUUGAGGUCUGACGGAAGCGAUUCCCACGAGGCGCCUGGCGUUGACGAUGAUGUUUUACUGGGAGGGGGAACCCUGACCAUGUUGUCCAGUGAUACAGUGCUGCUGGGAGGAUCCUUCUCACUAGAUUUGCCUGCAUCACUGGAGCUCCUCUGUGCGCUGCGGGGCUUGAGGGGAACAUCUGGUUUUGGAGACAGAUUUGAUGAUCUCGACUUAGUCCUAGAGGUGAUCUUCUCCUUGCUCUCUCUUCUCUGCAGUGGUUUCUCCUCCGCCAUUCUUCUUGGAACCUGUGAGUAAAUUGCUACGUCAACUUGCUACUCCCUCUCUUCCAUAUUAAUUGACUUUCUAUUACAUGUAUCUAGACACUUUUUAGGUAUUGAUACAUUCAUAUUUGGACAAAUUUGAGUCACUUAAUAUGGGAUUGAGGGAGUAGUAUUUUAUUUCA
This is a long non-coding RNA of Brachypodium distachyon (stiff brome), 3112 nucleotides long. RefSeq lists it as uncharacterized. NCBI's taxonomy places the organism in Eukaryota, Viridiplantae, Streptophyta, Magnoliopsida, Poales, Poaceae. The record is from RefSeq and is a predicted model, not a curated record. The transcript has 2 exons.